This 253-nucleotide ribosomal RNA is filed under the name uncultured bacterium. RNAcentral's name for it is "partial 16S ribosomal RNA". It matches the Rfam family "Bacterial small subunit ribosomal RNA", at positions 524 to 776 of the family's 1533-position model. The record is from RNAcentral.
UACAGGGGGUGCAAGCGUUGCUCGGAAUCAUUGGGCGUAAAGAGCACGUAGGCGGUCUGUUAUGUCGGAUGUGAAAGCCCUUGGCUCAACUGAGGAAGUGCAUCCGAAACUGGCAGGCUAGAGUACUAAAGAGGGUCGCGGAAUUCCCGGUGUAGAGGUGAAAUUCGUAGAUAUCGGGAGGAACACCGGUGGCGAAGGCGGCGACCUGGGUAGAUACUGACGCUGAGGUGCGAAAGCGUGGGGAGCAAACAGG